This 437-nucleotide ribosomal RNA is filed under the name uncultured bacterium. RNAcentral describes it as "partial 16S ribosomal RNA". It matches the Rfam family "Bacterial small subunit ribosomal RNA", at positions 29 to 507 of the family's 1533-position model. The record is from RNAcentral.
AGCGGACGCUGGCGGCAGGCUUAACACAUGCAAGUCGAGCGGGCAUCCUUGUGGUGUCCGCGGCAGACGGGUGAGUAACGCGUGGGAACGUGCCCUUCGGUUCGGAGUAACUCAGGGAAACUUGAGCUAAUACCGGAUACGUGCGAGAGCAGAAAGGUUUAUCUGCCGAAGGAUCGGCCCGCGUCUGAUUAGCUAGUUGGUGAGGUUAUGGCUCACCAAGGCGACGAUCAGUAGCUGGUCUGAGAGGAUGAUCAGCCACACUGGGACUGAGACACGGCCCAGACUCCUACGGGAGGCAGCAGUGGGGAAUAUUGGACAAUGGGGGCAACCCUGAUCCAGCCAUGCCGCGUGAGUGAUGACGGCCUUAGGGUUGUAAAGCUCUUUUCUCCGGGACGAUAAUGACGGUACCGGAGGAAUAAGCCCCGGCUAACUUCGUG